Labrus bergylta (ballan wrasse) is the source of this 281-nucleotide non-coding RNA. The record is from RefSeq and is a predicted model, not a curated record. NCBI's taxonomy places the organism in Eukaryota, Metazoa, Chordata, Actinopteri, Labriformes, Labridae.
CUAAAAACGUCCUCUCUCUCCUCUUCCUCAGUGAUGAUGAAGGUCUCUCUGAUCGUCUUGUGUUUACUGAGCCUCAGUCUGAGCAUGCCAAUCCACAGAAGAAGAGUGACGAGGUCAGACAGCUCAGAAGGAGAGGAGGAGAGCGACUCCAACGAAACCAGCAAUGAAGAGGAGGACGAAGAAGGAGGGACGGAAAGAGGAGACGCUUAUAAAGAGGAAGAACAAAAAAAUAAUGAAGGAAAAAAAGAUCAAGAGCAGAGAGAAGGAAGAGGAGACAUAGA